CAGUCGCCGCGGGAAUACGGAGGGUGCAAGCGUUAAUCGGAAUUACUGGGCGUAAAGCGCACGCAGGCGGUUUGUUAAGUCAGAUGUGAAAUCACCGAGCUUAACUUGGGAACUGCAUUUGAAACUGGCAAGCUAGAGUCUUGUAGAGGGGGGUAGAAUUCCAGGUGUAGCGGUGAAAUGCGUAGAGAUCUGGAGGAAUACCGGUGGCGAAGGCGGCCCCCUGGGCAAAGACUGACGCUCAGGUGCGAAAGCGUGGGGAGCAAACAGGAUUAGAUACCCGGGUAGUCCCUGUCUCUUAUAC
Molecule: ribosomal RNA, 301 nt
Filed under: uncultured bacterium
Lineage: Bacteria
Description: partial 16S ribosomal RNA
Rfam family: Bacterial small subunit ribosomal RNA
Source: RNAcentral